AUGGAUAUGGAACAUGAAAUACCAAAAAAAUUAGGUAUACUUGCUGCUCAUGGAGAUGGGGAACCUCUUAAAACCCUCGAUGCUUAUUAUGUGAUAGAUAUUAUGUACUACUUUGAUAAUCCUGAGAAAACCCCAUUCAACUUUGUAAUGGGAGUAACGUUGGAUCAACGUGAAUACUUUAGGGAUUAUCGCUUGACACAAAAAGGGAAACUAUUAUGGGAUCAAAUUUAUAUGUUGAAGUGGUAUGCUAGGCAACUAUGCUUGAGAUAUGAUUAUACUUGUUGCUCUAGGAUGAAGGCUCCACACCUUCCCUUUUCAUGCAAAUUUAAUGAUAAUAAAACCUUAGCUUCUUAUGCUAAUGGUAUAUAUGAUUACUAUGAUGUGGAACAAAUAGAAGAAUUUGUUGCUUUUAUGGGUGCUUAUGAAAUUGAAUCUAUGUUUAAAGAGUUUGAAGAUUUUGAUGAUGCUGUUUAUAGACCUGAAAAUUUAGCUAUCCUCAAAUAUUUCUAUGAGAAUUAUGAAUACAAUUCCGAUAUUAAUGCACUUAUUGAGAAAGUCUCCGCUGUCCAAGAAGAGACUAAUAUUUUGCAGGAAUCUAUGGAAGAAGUUGAUGAAACUGUGAGCUCAUUGGAUGAAAAAGAUGAGGAGGAGAGCGAAGAACAAAAGAAGGAAGAGCGGAUUGAUCACCCGUGCCCACCUUCUAAUGAGAGUAACUCUUCAACUCAUACAUUGUUUAAUUCCCCUUCGUGCUUACCGAAGGAUGAUUGCUAUGAUGACUGUUAUGAUCCCUUUGAUUCUUUUGAAAUAUCCCUUUUUUGA
Molecule: ribosomal RNA, 819 nt
Filed under: Triticum aestivum (bread wheat)
Lineage: Eukaryota; Viridiplantae; Streptophyta; Magnoliopsida; Poales; Poaceae
Description: partial small subunit ribosomal RNA
Source: RNAcentral